AGUGAACGCUGGCGGUAGGCCUAACACAUGCAAGUCGAACGGCAGCACAGGAGAGCUUGCUCUCUGGGUGGCGAGUGGCGGACGGGUGAGGAAUACAUCGGAAUCUACUUUUUCGUGGGGGAUAACGUAGGGAAACUUACGCUAAUACCGCAUACGACCUACGGGUGAAAGCAGGGGAUCUUCGGACCUUGCGCGAUUGAAUGAGCCGAUGUCGGAUUAGCUAGUUGGCGGGGUAAAGGCCCACCAAGGCGACGAUCCGUAGCUGGUCUGAGGGGAUGAUAAGCCACACUGGAACUGAGAAACGGUCCAGACUCCUACGGGAGGCAGCAGUGGGGAAUAUUGGACAAUGGGCGCAAGCCUGAUCCAGCCAUACCGCGUGGGUGAAGAAGGCCUUCGGGUUGUAAAGCCCUUUUGUUGGGAAAGAAAUCCAGCUGGUUAAUACCCGGUUGGGAUGACGGUACCCAAAGAAUAAGCACCGGCUAACUUCGUGCCAGCAGCCGCCGUAA
RNAcentral lists this ribosomal RNA (506 nucleotides) under uncultured bacterium. RNAcentral describes it as "partial 16S ribosomal RNA". It matches the Rfam family "Bacterial small subunit ribosomal RNA", at positions 29 to 523 of the family's 1533-position model. The record is from RNAcentral.